RNAcentral lists this transfer RNA (74 nucleotides) under Ligilactobacillus salivarius. RNAcentral describes it as "tRNA-Leu". It matches the Rfam family "tRNA". Rfam says of the family: Transfer RNA (tRNA) molecules are approximately 80 nucleotides in length. Lineage: Bacteria; Bacillati; Bacillota; Bacilli; Lactobacillales; Lactobacillaceae. The record is from RNAcentral.
GGGCCUAUAGCUCAGCUGGUUAGAGCGCACGCCUGAGAAGCGUGAGGUCGAUGGUUCGAGUCCAUUUAGGCCCA